RNAcentral lists this ribosomal RNA (866 nucleotides) under uncultured bacterium. Its description in RNAcentral is "bacterial SSU rRNA". It matches the Rfam family "Bacterial small subunit ribosomal RNA", at positions 8 to 894 of the family's 1533-position model. The record is from RNAcentral.
AGAGUUUGAUCCUGGCUCAGGACGAACGCUGGCGGCGUGCCUAACACAUGCAAGUCGAACGAAGUAUAUUUUCGGAUAUGCUUAGUGGCGGACGGGUGAGUAACGCGUGAACAAUCUGCCCUAUACACAGGAAUAGCCUCGGGAAACUGGGAUUAAAACCGGAUAACACUUUUUUCUCGCAUGAGAGAGAAGUCAAAUUGAUUUAGAGGUAUAGGAUGAGUUCGCGUCUGAUUAGCUAGUUGGUGAGGUAACGGCUCACCAAGGCGACGAUCAGUAGCCGGCCUGAGAGGGUGAACGGCCACACUGGAACUGAGACACGGUCCAGACUCCUACGGGAGGCAGCAGUGGGGAAUAUUGCACAAUGGAGGAAACUCUGAUGCAGCGACGCCGCGUGAGUGAAGAAGGUCUUCGGAUCGUAAAACUCUGUCCUUGGUGACGAAAAAAAUGACGGUAGCCAAGGAGGAAGCCCCGGCUAACUACGUGCCAGCAGCCGCGGUAAUACGUAGGGGGCGAGCGUUGUCCGGAUUUACUGGGCGUAAAGGGUGAGUAGGCGGUAAUAUGUGUCAGAUGUAAAAGGCUAUGGCUUAACCGUAGUUGGCAUUUGAAACUGUAUUACUUGAGUGCAGGAGAGGUAAGUGGAAUUCCUAGUGUAGCGGUGAAAUGCGUAGAUAUUAGGAGGAACACCAGUGGCGAAGGCGACUUACUGGACUGUAACUGACGCUGAGUCACGAAAGCGUGGGUAGCAAACAGGAUUAGAUACCCUGGUAGUCCACGCUGUAAACGAUGAGUGCUAGGUGUUGGGUAGCGAUAUUNNNNGCCGNNGUAAACACAAUAAGCACUCCGCCUGGGGAGUNNNNUCGCAAGAC